CGAACGCUGGCGGCAGGCCUAACACAUGCAAGUCGAACGUGAAGCUUUCCUUCGGGAAAGUGGAAAGUGGCAGACGGGUGAGUAACGCGUGGGAACGUGCCUUUCGGUUCGGAAUAACCCAGGGAAACUUGGGCUAAUACCGGAUACGCCCUCCGGGGGAAAGAUUCAUCGCCGAAAGAUCGGCCCGCGUCGGAUUAGCUUGUUGGUGGGGUAACAGCCUACCAAGGCGACGAUCCGUAGCUGGUCUGAGAGGAUGAUCAGCCACACUGGGACUGAGACACGGCCCAGACUCCUACGGGAGGCAGCAGUGGGGAAUAUUGGACAAUGGGCGCAAGCCUGAUCCAGCCAUGCCGCGUGGGUGAAGAAGGCCCUAGGGUUGUAAAUCCCUUUCAGCGGGGAAGAUAAUGACGGUACCCGCAGAAGAAGCCCCGGCUAACUCCGUGCCAGCAGCCGCGGUAAU
RNAcentral lists this ribosomal RNA (460 nucleotides) under uncultured bacterium. RNAcentral's name for it is "bacterial SSU rRNA". It matches the Rfam family "Bacterial small subunit ribosomal RNA", at positions 30 to 524 of the family's 1533-position model. The record is from RNAcentral.